AACGAACGCUGGCGGCAUGCCUAACACAUGCAAGUCGAACGAGACCUUCGGGUCUAGUGGCGGACGGGUGAGUAACGCGUGGGAACCUGCACUUCAGUGGGGGAUAACGACGGGAAACUGUCGCUAAUACCGCAUACGCCCUCAGGGGGAAAGAUUUAUCGCUGAAGGAUGGGCCCGCGUCGGAUUAGCUAGUUGGUGAGGUAACGGCCCACCAAGGCGACGAUCCGUAGCUGGUCUAAGAGGAUGAUCA
Molecule: ribosomal RNA, 250 nt
Filed under: uncultured bacterium
Lineage: Bacteria
Description: partial 16S ribosomal RNA
Rfam family: Bacterial small subunit ribosomal RNA
Source: RNAcentral